Molecule: ribosomal RNA, 497 nt
Filed under: uncultured bacterium
Lineage: Bacteria
Description: partial 16S ribosomal RNA
Rfam family: Bacterial small subunit ribosomal RNA
Source: RNAcentral
GAUGAACGCUGGCGGCGUGCCUAAUACAUGCAAGUCGAGCGAACAGACGAGGAUCUUGCUCCUCUGACGUUAGCGGCGGACGGGUGAGUAACACGUGGAUAACCUACCUAUAAGACUGGGAUAACUUCGGGAAACCGAAGCUAAUACCGGAUAAUAUAUUGAACCGCAUGGUUCAAUAGUGAAAGACGGUUUUGCUGUCACUUAUAGAUGGAUCCGCGCCGCAUUAGCUAGUUGGUAAGGUAACGGCUUACCAAGGCGACGAUGCGUAGCCGACCUGAGAGGGUGAUGGGCCACACGGGCGCUGAGACUCGGUCCCGACUCCUACGGGAGGAAGCAGUAGGGACUCUUCCGCAAUGGACGAGAGCCUGACGGAGCAACGCCGCGUGAGUGAUGAAGGUCUUCGGAUCGUAAAACUCUGUUAUUAGGGAAGAACAAAUGUGUAAGUAACUAUGCACGUCUUGACGGUACCUGAUCAGAAAGCCACGGCUGACUACGUG